GACGAACGCUGGCGGCGUGCUUAACACAUGCAAGUCGAACGAAAAGCGAUGGAAGCUUGCUUCUCUCAGUCUUAGUGGCGAACGGGUGAGUCACGCGUAAUCAACCUUCCCUUCAGAGGGGGACAACAGUUGGAAACGACUACUCAUACCGCAUACGAUCUAAUCUCGGCAUCGAGGAUAGAUGAAAGGUGGCCUCUACAUGUAAGCUAUCACUUCAGCUGGGGAUUGCGGCUGUUUAGGUAGUUGGCGGGGUAACGUACCAUCAAGGCGAGGUUCAGGAGCCGGAAGGGUAGGAUGAACGGCCAGACUGGGAGUGAGACACGGCCCAGAGGGCUACGGGAAGGAGCCGGAGGGCAACGGGCGGAAUGGACGGAAGACAGACGGCGAAAGGCCGCGUGAGUGAUGACGGACGUCGGGUUGUAAAGCUCGGUUAAUCGGGACGAAAGGGCUUCUUGCGAAUAGGGAGAAGGAUUGACGGUACCGGAAAAGAAAGCCACGGCUAACUACGUG
This 510-nucleotide ribosomal RNA is filed under the name uncultured bacterium. RNAcentral describes it as "partial 16S ribosomal RNA". It matches the Rfam family "Bacterial small subunit ribosomal RNA", at positions 28 to 507 of the family's 1533-position model. The record is from RNAcentral.